CCGCUGGAAACGAUGGACACCUCUGGAAUGCCGUAUUUGGUACCAAGACCCUUCAAGGCUAACGCCAAGCAAGGGCUCUGGAAUCCUGGAAAGUGACUCACGGAUUACCCCCGGCCACCCUCACCCUCCCUGGUGAUUGAGGUUACCUUUGUGGACGAUGCUGGAAAACAUCUGACUGACUGGAACUCUUUUCUGGAAAACGUCUGAGCGACUGGAACUUUUUUCUGGAAAACACCUGGCCAGCUGGAAUUUUUUCUGGAAAACGUCUGACCAACAGGAUCUUUUUUCUGGAAAACACCUGGCCCGCCGGAAAAUUUUUGGAAAACAUAUGACCAACUGGAUCUGUUUUCUGGAAAACAUCUGACCAACUGGAACUUUUUCCUGGAAAAUACCUGACUACCAGAAACUUUUAUUCUGGAAAACAUCUGACCGACAGAAACUUUAUUCUGGAAAACAUCUGACGAACUGGAACUCUUUCCUGGAAAACAGCAGACCAACAGAACCAACUGGAAUCUUUUUUUCUUUUUGGUUUGAACAAAUGAUACAUCUUCCGUUGAAUGUUUCAGCCAUUUUUUCAACCAAGAUUGCAAACUGUCUCACCAAUUCCUACAUCUCCAGGCACUCUAGCCUCAAGACGAACAUUGUUCCAACAACGAGAACUUCCUGGAAACAGGAGGUUCCAGCCUAGCUUCAAUGGAAUCUGGAAAGAAGCCGAGACCUUUGAAGAAAAACUGGAAACAGAAUAAGAAUCCGAUUGAAUAUGAUGUCUACAGAAAUCCUACAGCAAGGCAAUAUAGACCCUCCGUGCCCAUUCCAUAAGGGGCCAUUUCCCCAAAAAAAUCCUCUCAACAAGGUGAAGACAGGACAAAAAUCGCCAUAAUUUAAAUAUACAGAGGUCAAAUUUCCUCAACACCAUCUCCUGGGAAACGACAGAGAGAACUCGACCUUAUGCCACUGAUACAUUGAGGCCUAUAUCCGAAAUAGGGGUCAUUUAAGAAGCCGGAUGAAGGGACCUCAUCUCUUUCAUUCUUUUACAGAUCCAAAAUAAAGCUUUUUUUCUUUUUU
This is a long non-coding RNA of Macrobrachium nipponense, 1065 nucleotides long. RefSeq lists it as uncharacterized. The record is from RefSeq and is a predicted model, not a curated record. The transcript has 3 exons. Lineage: Eukaryota; Metazoa; Arthropoda; Malacostraca; Decapoda; Palaemonidae.